AUACUUACAUGGACCGGGUCCAUGAACGAUAAAGAAGGCUUAUGGCCUAGAUCAAUGGUUCACAUUGCGCGUAGUGAGUGCCUUGAUCUACCAUCUCCUUCGGGAGAGUGGACGUUAUAAUUUACGAUAGAGGGGGUUCGCGUCCGCGUGACCCCUG
RNAcentral lists this small nuclear RNA (157 nucleotides) under Triticum aestivum (bread wheat). Its description in RNAcentral is "U1 spliceosomal RNA". It matches the Rfam family "U1 spliceosomal RNA". Rfam says of the family: U1 is a small nuclear RNA (snRNA) component of the spliceosome (involved in pre-mRNA splicing). Its 5' end forms complementary base pairs with the 5' splice junction, thus defining the 5' donor site of an intron. There are significant differences in sequence and secondary structure between metazoan and yeast U1 snRNAs, the latter being much longer (568 nucleotides as compared to 164 nucleotides in human). Lineage: Eukaryota; Viridiplantae; Streptophyta; Magnoliopsida; Poales; Poaceae. The record is from Rfam by way of RNAcentral.